RNAcentral lists this ribosomal RNA (377 nucleotides) under uncultured Halomonas sp. RNAcentral describes it as "bacterial SSU rRNA". It matches the Rfam family "Bacterial small subunit ribosomal RNA", at positions 115 to 488 of the family's 1533-position model. Lineage: Bacteria; Pseudomonadati; Pseudomonadota; Gammaproteobacteria; Oceanospirillales; Halomonadaceae. The record is from RNAcentral.
GCAUAGGAAUCUGCCCGGUAGUGGGGGAUAACUUGAGGAAACUCAAGCUAAUACCGCAUACGCCCUACGGGGGAAAGCAGGGGCUCUUCGGACCUUGCGCUAUCGGAUGAGCUUAUGUCGGAUUAGCUAGUUGGUGAGGUAACGGCUUACCAAGGCGACGAUCCGUAGCUGGUCUGAGAGGAUGAUCAGCCACAUCGGGACUGAGACACGGCCCGAACUCCUACGGGAGGCAGCAGUGGGGAAUAUUGGACAAUGGGCGAAAGCCUGAUCCAGCCAUGCCGCGUGUGUGAAGAAGGCCCUCGGGUUGUAAAGCACUUUCAGUGAGGAAGAAGGCUUGUCGGUUAAUACCCGGCAGGAAGGACAUCACCCACAGCGGG